AGGGAUUGAGUUUGUUAAAAAGCAUCUUAUUUACACUAAGAAGAACACUUCUGUGAAUCUCUU
This 63-nucleotide transfer RNA is filed under the name Saemundssonia lari. Its description in RNAcentral is "tRNA-Val". The record is from RNAcentral. Lineage: Eukaryota; Metazoa; Arthropoda; Insecta; Psocodea; Philopteridae.